Molecule: ribosomal RNA, 281 nt
Filed under: uncultured bacterium
Lineage: Bacteria
Description: partial 16S ribosomal RNA
Rfam family: Bacterial small subunit ribosomal RNA
Source: RNAcentral
UAAGACGAACCGUGCGAACGUUAUUCGGAAUCACUGGGCUUAAAGCGCGUGUAGGCGGAUCGGCACGUCUGUCGCUGAAAUCCCCCGGCUCAACCGGGGAACGGGCGCGGAUACGGCCGGUCUGGCGGGGCGUAGGGGGACCUGGAACUUCCGGUGGAGCGGUGAAAUGCGUUGAGAUCGGAAGGAACGCCCGUGGCGAAAGCGAGGUCCUGGACGCCUACUGACGCUGAGACGCGAAAGCCAGGGGAGCGAACGGGAUUAGAUACCCCGGUAGUCCUGGC